GGGCCUGCACCCUAGGGGGCGGGCAGGGAGGAAGUAGGUGAUCUCAGAUACAAAUUGCAAACCUGUGCUAUAAAGAAAACUGAGCACCUGAGAACAUAAAGAAUAAACCUGUGGGUUCUCUGGGGAAGGGGCGUGGAGGCUGAGGGGGAUCUAGCCAAGUUACAGAUUGGGUCCGGACUGAGCUGCAGGAGUGGAACAAGCAGCCAGGAUUCGCUCCAUGGAAGGAGGUGGCCUGAGAGGAGUGCUGCAUGGGGUCCCUAAGC
This is a long non-coding RNA of Myotis davidii, 263 nucleotides long. RefSeq lists it as uncharacterized. The record is from RefSeq and is a predicted model, not a curated record. NCBI's taxonomy places the organism in Eukaryota, Metazoa, Chordata, Mammalia, Chiroptera, Vespertilionidae. The transcript is spliced from 3 exons.